CCCUUAGAUGUUCUGGGCCGCACGCGCGCUACACUGAUACAUGCAACGAGUUUAUAACCUUGAUCUGACGGUCUGGGUAAUCUUCAAACUGUAUCGUGUUAGGGAUCGAUUCUUGCAAUUUUUAAUCGUAAACGAGGAAUUCCUAGUAAACGCAAGUCAUCAGCUUGCAUUGAUUACGUCCCUGCCCUUUGUACACACCGCCCGUCGACUCUACCGAUUGAAUGGUUCGGUGAAAACUUUGGACUGUGGCAUUGUCCUUCAUUGGACUUCGCCGUAGGAAAUUGUUUAAAUCUCAUCAUUUAGAGGAAGAAUAAGUCGUAACA
This 323-nucleotide ribosomal RNA is filed under the name uncultured eukaryote. Its description in RNAcentral is "partial 18S ribosomal RNA". It matches the Rfam family "Eukaryotic small subunit ribosomal RNA", at positions 1470 to 1796 of the family's 1831-position model. The record is from RNAcentral.